This 497-nucleotide ribosomal RNA is filed under the name uncultured bacterium. RNAcentral describes it as "partial 16S ribosomal RNA". It matches the Rfam family "Bacterial small subunit ribosomal RNA", at positions 28 to 507 of the family's 1533-position model. The record is from RNAcentral.
GAUGAACGCUGGCGGCGUGCCUAAUACAUGCAAGUCGAGCGAACAGACGAUGAGCUUGUUCCGUUGACGUUAGCGGCGCACGUGUGUGUAACACGUGUAUAACCUACCUAUAUUACUGGUAUAACUUCGGGACACCGGAUCUUAUACCGUAUAAUAUCUUGAAGCGCAUUGUUCAAUAGUGAGUUUCGGCUUUUCUGGCUCUUCUAGAUGCUUCCCGGCCGUAUUAGAUAGUUGGUACGGUAACGGCUUACCAAGGCUACGAUGCGUAGACGACCUGAGAGGGUGAUAGGCCACACUGGAACUGAGACACGGUCAAGACUACUACGGGAGGCAGCAGUAGGGAAUGUGCCGCAAUGGGCGAAAGCCUGACGGAGCAACGCCGCGUGAGUGAUGAAGGUCUUCGGAUCGUAAAACUCUGUUAUUGGGGAAGAACAAAUGUGUAAGUAAAUAUGCCCGUAUUGACGGUAACUAAUCAAAAAGCAACGGCUAACUACGUG